CGUAUCGAUCCUUGUGUUUGUAUAGUUGUAGAGACAGUCCUGGAGUGUUUGUGCUGCCUGAUUCUUGGGAUUGCGCACCAAUCUCUCUCUCUGGCUAACUUUGCACUACCUAUUUUGCAAUUACAUCUUUUUGGUCAAAAUCAAUGCAGGCCGAAGAAACUGAGAUACUUACUUACGAGGACCUGGAAAGUCCUGAAGGUGCAGUGCUGUCUAAUACCGCUGGUUCUGUAUUAACCCUUUCAGCAAUUGGGGUGUUGCACAGAGCAAGAACUAAGAACUAUGUGGAAGCGGAC
This is a non-coding RNA of Pelobates cultripes (western spadefoot toad), 293 nucleotides long. NCBI's taxonomy places the organism in Eukaryota, Metazoa, Chordata, Amphibia, Anura, Pelobatidae. The record is from the annotation of a GenBank genome assembly.